This 320-nucleotide ribosomal RNA is filed under the name uncultured Prevotella sp. RNAcentral describes it as "bacterial SSU rRNA". It matches the Rfam family "Bacterial small subunit ribosomal RNA", at positions 28 to 339 of the family's 1533-position model. Lineage: Bacteria; Pseudomonadati; Bacteroidota; Bacteroidia; Bacteroidales; Prevotellaceae. The record is from RNAcentral.
GAUGAACGCUAGCUACAGGCUUAACACAUGCAAGUCGAGGGGCAGCAUGUCGUGUGCUUGCACACGGUGAUGGCGACCGGCGCACGGGUGAGUAACGCGUAUCCAACCUUCCCUGGGGUCCGGAAUAGCCCGGUGAAAACCGGAUUAAUGCCGGAUGUCGUGCGAUGAUGGCAUCAGAGUUGCACGAAAGGCUUGCCGCCUCGGGAUGGGGAUGCGUCUGAUUAGGCAGCAGGCGGGGUGACGGCCCACCUGGCCUUCGAUCAGUAGGGGUUCUGAGAGGAAGGUCCCCCACACUGGAACUGAGACACGGUCCAGACUCC